UCCCUGGUGGUCUAGCGGCUAAGGAUCAAGCGCUCUCAGUACCGUGGCCCGGGUUCGAUUCCCGGGCAGGGAA
This 73-nucleotide transfer RNA is filed under the name Pangasianodon gigas (Mekong giant catfish). RNAcentral describes it as "tRNA-Glu". The record is from RNAcentral. Lineage: Eukaryota; Metazoa; Chordata; Actinopteri; Siluriformes; Pangasiidae.